Molecule: ribosomal RNA, 463 nt
Filed under: uncultured bacterium
Lineage: Bacteria
Description: bacterial SSU rRNA
Rfam family: Bacterial small subunit ribosomal RNA
Source: RNAcentral
CUACGGGAGGCAGCAGUGGGGAAUUUUGGACAAUGGGCGAAAGCCUGAUCCAGCCAUGCCGCGUGCGGGAAGAAGGCCUUCGGGUUGUAAACCGCUUUUGUCAGGGAAGAAAUCCUUUGGGUUAAUACCUCGGAGGGAUGACGGUACCUGAAGAAUAAGCACCGGCUAACUACGUGCCAGCAGCCGCGGUAAUACGUAGGGUGCGAGCGUUAAUCGGAAUUACUGGGCGUAAAGCGUGCGCAGGCGGUCUUGCAAGACAGGUGUGAAAUCCCCGGGCUCAACCUGGGAACUGCACUUGUGACUGCAAGGCUGGAGUACGGCAGAGGGGGAUGGAAUUCCGCGUGUAGCAGUGAAAUGCGUAGAUAUGCGGAGGAACACCGAUGGCGAAGGCAAUCCCCUGGGCCUGUACUGACGCUCAUGCACGAAAGCGUGGGGAGCAAACAGGAUUAGAUACCCCGGUAGG